UACGUAGGGUGCAAGCGUUGUCCGGAAUUAUUGGGCGUAAAGAGCUCGUAGGCGGUUUGUCGCGUCGAAUGUGAAAUCCCGGGGCUCAACCCCGGGUCUGCAUUCGAUACGGGCAGACUAGAGUCCGGAAGAGGCGAGUGGAAUUCCUGGUGUAGCGGUGGAAUGCGCAGAUAUCAGGAGGAACACCAAUAGCGAAGGCAGCUCGCUGGGACGGUACUGACGCUAAGGCGCGAAAGCGUGGGGAGCGAACAGG
RNAcentral lists this ribosomal RNA (253 nucleotides) under uncultured bacterium. RNAcentral describes it as "partial 16S ribosomal RNA". It matches the Rfam family "Bacterial small subunit ribosomal RNA", at positions 524 to 776 of the family's 1533-position model. The record is from RNAcentral.